GCGAUAAGGGUAGUGGACACAGGAACCUCGUUGCCAGUGUAUGGGAGAAGAGCACGAGGUGCUGUACCCGAUGAUGAGCCCAUGAUUCUGACCAGUACAUGUUCCGUUUCAUGCAGGCAGAUAAAGUCAGCAUUCAUCUCAUCCUGUCUCCUGAUUGUCAUUGAACACAACGCAGACACAAACUAUACGACGAAU
This is a long non-coding RNA of Archocentrus centrarchus (flier cichlid), 195 nucleotides long. RefSeq lists it as uncharacterized. The transcript has 3 exons. The record is from RefSeq and is a predicted model, not a curated record. Lineage: Eukaryota; Metazoa; Chordata; Actinopteri; Cichliformes; Cichlidae.